AGACCCGAAACCCGGUGAUCUAGCCAUGGGCAGGUUGAAGGUUGGGUAACACUAACUGGAGGACCGAACCGACUAAUGUUGAAAAAUUAGCGGAUGACCUGUGGCUGGGGGUGAAAGGCCAAUCAAACCGGGAGAUAGCUGGUUCUCCCCGAAAGCUAUUUAGGUAGCGCCUCGUGAAUUCAUCUCCGGGGGUAGAGCACUGUUUCGGCUAGGGGGCCAUCCCGGCUUACCAACCCGAUGCAAACUGCGAAUACCGGAGAAUGUUAUCACGGGAGACACACGGCGGGUGCUAACGUCCGUCGUGAAGAGGGAAACAACCCAGACCGCCAGCUAAGGUCCCAAAGUCAUGGUUAAGUGGGAAACGAUGUGGGAAGGCCCAGACAGCCAGGAUGUUGGCUUAGAAGCAGCCAUCAUUUAAAGAAAGCGUAAUAGCUCACUGGUCGAGUCGGCCUGCGCGGAAGAUGUAACGGGGCUAAACCAUGCACCGAAGCUGCGGCAGCGAACGUAUCACUUAAAGCGAUUCAGCGGGUUACGAUUAACGGAGCGAAGCGACGUCAAAGCGUAUACAAAGUCGAGUCGGUUUAAGGAUACGUUCGUUGGGUAGGGGAGCGUUCUGUAAGCCUGUGAAGGUGGCCUGUGAGGGUUGCUGGAGG
Molecule: ribosomal RNA, 653 nt
Filed under: Salmonella enterica subsp. enterica serovar Kentucky
Lineage: Bacteria; Pseudomonadati; Pseudomonadota; Gammaproteobacteria; Enterobacterales; Enterobacteriaceae
Description: partial 23S ribosomal RNA
Rfam family: Bacterial large subunit ribosomal RNA
Source: RNAcentral